UUGAAACUUUGGCCUUAAACUUCAUAUCCCAAGUUUCUUGCAACUAAGAAUAAAAUUUUCAAAGUUGAUGUUUGAACUUCUUCUUCUUUUAAGCUGCAGUGAAUUUGUUCUUGUACUCAUUCGAGGAUAUUGCCAGUUUUGUAUUUAUAAGUUCUCUAAUAAUCUUCCACGAGUCUCCAUUGGAGGCUGAACAGCCCUGUUCCC
Lonchura striata (white-rumped munia) is the source of this 204-nucleotide non-coding RNA. The record is from RefSeq and is a predicted model, not a curated record. Lineage: Eukaryota; Metazoa; Chordata; Aves; Passeriformes; Estrildidae.